Molecule: ribosomal RNA, 228 nt
Filed under: uncultured bacterium
Lineage: Bacteria
Description: partial 16S ribosomal RNA
Rfam family: Bacterial small subunit ribosomal RNA
Source: RNAcentral
CGAACUAGGUAACCUGCCCAUGUGUCCGGGAUAACUGCUGGAAACGGUAGCUAAAACCGGAUAGGUAUACAGAGCGCAUGCUCAGUAUAUUAAAGCGCCCAUCAAGGCGUGAACAUGGAUGGACCUGCGGCGCAUUAGCUAGUUGGUGAGGUAACGGCCCACCAAGGCGAUGAUGCGUAGCCGGCCUGAGAGGGUAAACGGCCACAUUGGGACUGAGACACGGCCCAA